UACGGAGGAUGCAAGCGUUAUCCGGAUUCAUUGGGUUUAAAGGGUACGUAGGUGGCCUGUUAAGUCAGUGGUGAAAGUUUGCCGCUUAACGGUAAAUUGCCAUUGAUACUGAUGGGCUUGAGUGCAGAUGAGGUAGGCGGAAUGUGUAGUGUAGCGGUGAAAUGCUUAGAUAUUACACAGAACUCCGAUUGCGAAGGCAGCUUACUAAACUGUAACUGACGCUGAGGUACGAAAGCGUGGGGAGCGAACAGG
This 252-nucleotide ribosomal RNA is filed under the name uncultured bacterium. Its description in RNAcentral is "partial 16S ribosomal RNA". It matches the Rfam family "Bacterial small subunit ribosomal RNA", at positions 524 to 776 of the family's 1533-position model. The record is from RNAcentral.